RNAcentral lists this ribosomal RNA (797 nucleotides) under uncultured crenarchaeote. RNAcentral describes it as "bacterial SSU rRNA". It matches the Rfam family "Archaeal small subunit ribosomal RNA", at positions 52 to 859 of the family's 1478-position model. The record is from RNAcentral. Lineage: Archaea; Thermoproteati; Thermoproteota.
UGCGAGUCACAUAGCAUAUGUGGCAUACGGCUCAGUAACACGUAGUCAACAUGCCCAGGGGACGUGGAUAACCUCGGGAAACUGAGGAUAAACCGCGAUAGGUCACUACUUCUGGAAAGGGUAAUGACUUAAAUCUAUAUGGCCCCUGGAUUGGACUGCGGCCGAUCAGGCUGUUGGUGAGGUAAUGGCCCACCAAACCUGUAACCGGUACGGGCUCUGAGAGGAGGAGCCCGGAGAUGGGCACUGAGACAAGGGCCCAGGCCCUAUGGGGCGCAGCAGGCGCGAAACCUCUGCAAUAGGCGAAAGCCUGACAGGGUUACUCUGAGUGAUUUCCGUUAAGGAGAUCUUUUGGCACCUCUAAAAAUGGUGCAGAAUAAGGGGUGGGCAAGUCUGGUGUCAGCCGCCGCGGUAAUACCAGCACCCCGAGUGGUCGGGACGUUUAUUGGGCCUAAAGCAUCCGUAGCCGGUUCUACAAGUCUUCCGUUAAAUCCACCUGCUUAACAGAUGGGCUGCGGAAGAUACUAUGGAGCUAGGAGGCGGGAGAGGCAAGCGGUACUCGAUGGGUAGGGGUAAAAUCCGUUGAUCCAUUGAAGACCACCAGUGGCGAAGGCGGCUUGCCAGAACGCGCUCGACGGUGAGGGAUGAAAGCUGGGGGAGCAAACCGGAUUAGAUACCCGGGUAGUCCCAGCUGUAAACGAUGCAGACUCGGUGAUGAAUUGGCUUCAUGCCAAUUCAGUGCCGCAGGAAAGCCGUUAAGUUUGCCGCCUGGGGAGUACGGUCGCAAGACUGAAACUUAA